CUGUCCUGUUGAGUUUGAUCAGGGGUGCUCAAUGCGUCGAUCGCGAUCAACUGGUCAACAGCGAAAGGAGCCACCGAAGCAUCGUUCCGGGUUCGUCACAUCGUCGUUGAUAACAAAAGUCCUUCCAAGAUGGAGAGAUGCUGUAAAGGGGUACAGUUACACGGCGCUGUGGCGCCAUGGCUGAUGUGUGGAAGGACAUCUCGGAUUUUGAUGGACGAAUCCAUUGAUGUGAGUGACACAGCCCAGGGUGUCUGGGUUCUCCCUUAGAGAUGGGAUGAGAAGCUUGGUCAUCCGGAGGGGCUCAGUGUUGAGCCGCUGCUCCUCUGCAUUCUCGAGGAGCCAGAAGAGGUGGCCGGGGCAUCUGAGCCAGAUGCCUCUAGGACGCCUCCCUCGUAGGAUGUUCCAGGCACGUCCCACCAGAAGCAGACCCAGGGGAGCACCCAGGACAGGAUGGCCUAAGAUCUGAAGGAAGUGGCUGGAGAAACAGAAGUCUGGGCAUCCCUCCAAAAGCUACUGCCCCCGCAACCUGAGCCAGAUAAGCACUAGAAGAUGGAUAGUUGAAUGGAUGGAUGGAUAAAACCUAUACCAUGAAAUACAGGCCAACAAGGCCCAAUAAGACUCCUUUUUCAGCUUGCUGGAAUCCCUUACUGAAGUGAAGGUGCCCACCAAUGAGUUUGGGCAUUCCUGCCAACACAAUAUACUGUGUAGACAGAAUACAUUAAAUGUUCAUUGAGGAAAUGUAAUUUGCUCCUGCUUGUUAACUUGUCAGCCAAAAUGUAGGCAGCCCCAAAUAUGGCUGAAAAUCCAGUAUUUCAUCAGAACGCAAGCCCAACAUGACUACUAUUUGGGAAGAUUUUUUUUCUGCACACAUCAUUUGUAAGUCUAAGAACUACAGAAUAAGUGUGAAUCUACCCACCAUUUACUAGUUCAUUGAAGUCCCACCACUAAUUAGGAGCUCCCUAACAGUGUCAGGAUUAUUAUCUUUUGAAAGGCAGAAUUUGUUACACCGCUCUUGUAUUAGAUUUCAAGUGUACCUAUCAUUGUGUGUUUAUUGAUUAUCUGCAAGAAAAUUGGAACAAAAGCUGGGUCUCUUCAAACAGAGUGAUUUUUAGCUCGUAGCCUUUUUCUCUCUCUCUCUCUCUCUCGCUCUCUCUCUCUGUCUUAAUUUUCUUUUGUUUUAUCUGAGCAUAUACUGCAAUGCGGACAAACAUCAGUGACAUUAGUUUUGAGCCGUAACAACUUUCUUCUGGACUGAAGCAUUUAUUUGAAUCAUGGCUUUAGAGUUGUC
Molecule: long non-coding RNA, 1288 nt
Organism: Syngnathoides biaculeatus (alligator pipefish)
Lineage: Eukaryota; Metazoa; Chordata; Actinopteri; Syngnathiformes; Syngnathidae
Exons: 3
Source: RefSeq, a predicted model, not a curated record